AUGAAGAUCUCUGUGAGUUUUAUGCUGUGGCUGCUGCUUGGCGCCGCCUCCCCAAGUGAAAGUACCGAUUAUCAGCAGUCUUUUCCUCAAGACAUCUACGCUGCGCUGAGAGAGAUGACCGCCUCGUUGGUUCAACUGAAGGCUGACAUGACGAUGAUGCAGAGAGAAUUCCUGCAGACUCAAGAACAAGCAGCACAGCAGAAGACUGAAGUGGACAAUCUGAAUCAACAACAGCUAGCAGAUAAUCAAAUUCAACAUCAUAGCAGUAUGAAGAAACAAUGAAUGGCUACAGCGUAUAGGAGGCAGUAUGCUGUCUUCACAACUCGGAGACAAAUUGUAGGCACUACGAACCGGAGCAAGGCUGCCUGUAAUUACGAGCCAGUUAGCAGGAGCUUCAGGUAGAAACAACCAGAUCUUGCAUCGCAGGCGGAAGCUGUGAAGAGCUCAGCUCAGAGUCCAGCGAGAAGAAAGAGGGUAAGAUUAGAUCCCUUUUGGUCAAUGUGACUAUUUUUAAUGAAUUAAUAGAUGUGUUGUGUCCAGUGUUGGGAGUAAAGGCAUUUAAGUAUAAAGGUGUUACUAACGGUGUUAUUUUUUCAGUAACGGAGUAAUAAAAUUAAUUACUUUUCCCAUCGUUGCAACGCCGUUAUCGUUACUCGAAUGAAAAGUGGCGAGGUACUACAAUUUGGUUGAAUGGAGAUCGAGGUGUCAGGCUUUGGCUACACGUCAGCUGCCUGGAGACAGUGUGGGGGGGGCGGUGAUGACAGCGUUGCAAAUGCGAUGGUGAUUGGCUGGGUGGGUGGAUGCCCUGCUCACGCUGUCUCACUGCACGCUCUUACUACCACUAAACACAAGACAGCGACAAUGGCGACAAGUAAGGGAAAUUUAAAAUGUAGCGUUCUUGAACUGGAAGUAUCGGCACUAGUUUUCCCUCAUUGAAAUUAAAGGCAAGAAUGUUUAUGUAACAUGCACGCUAUGGCCAGGAAAAAAGACUUUAUCCACGUCUGGCUCAAGCAACUAAAAUCUUAUGAAGCACCUCACAUCAACACAUGAAGCUCAU
Long non-coding RNA from Perca fluviatilis (European perch), 1057 nucleotides. RefSeq lists it as uncharacterized. The transcript has 5 exons. Lineage: Eukaryota; Metazoa; Chordata; Actinopteri; Perciformes; Percidae. The record is from RefSeq and is a predicted model, not a curated record.